GAAUCUUGGACAAUGGGCGCAAGCCUGAUCCAGCCAUGCCGCGUGGGCGAUGAAGGUCUUCGGAUUGUAAAGCCCUUUUGGCGGGGACGAUAAUGACGGUACCCGCAGAAUAAGCUCCGGCUAACUUCGUGCCAGCAGCCGCGGUAAUACGAAGGGGGCUAGCGUUGUUCGGAAUUACUGGGCGUAAAGCGUGCGCAGGCGGUUAUUCAAGUCAGAGGUGAAAGCCCCGGGCUCAACCCGGGAAUGGCCUUUGAGACUGGAUAGCUAGAGUGUGAGAGAGGUGAGUGGAAUUCCCAGUGUAGAGGUGAAAUUCGUAGAUAUUGGGAAGAACACCCGUGGCGAAGGCGGCUCACUGGCUCGCAACUGACGCUCAUGCACGACAGCGUGGGGAGCAAACAGG
This 400-nucleotide ribosomal RNA is filed under the name uncultured bacterium. RNAcentral describes it as "bacterial SSU rRNA". It matches the Rfam family "Bacterial small subunit ribosomal RNA", at positions 359 to 776 of the family's 1533-position model. The record is from RNAcentral.